This 24-nucleotide non-coding RNA is filed under the name Arabidopsis thaliana (thale cress). The record is from RNAcentral. Lineage: Eukaryota; Viridiplantae; Streptophyta; Magnoliopsida; Brassicales; Brassicaceae.
GGUUAUCGAACUUGUUGUCUAGGG